This 912-nucleotide ribosomal RNA is filed under the name uncultured bacterium. Its description in RNAcentral is "bacterial SSU rRNA". It matches the Rfam family "Bacterial small subunit ribosomal RNA", at positions 35 to 943 of the family's 1533-position model. The record is from RNAcentral.
GCUGGCGGCAGGCCUAACACAUGCAAGUCGAGCGAGAAAGCACUUCGGUGCGAGUAGAGCGGCGGACGGGUGAGUAACGCGUAGGAAUCUACCUGGUAGUGGGGGACAACUCGGGGAAACUCGAGCUAAUACCGCAUACGCCCUUCGGGGGAAAGCGGGGGAUCUUCGGACCUCGCGCUAUUGGAUGAGCCUGCGUCGGAUUAGCUUGUUGGUAAGGUAAAAGCUUACCAAGGCUGCGAUCGGUAGCUGGUCUGAGAGGAUGUCCAGCCACACUGGGACUGAGACACGGCCCAGACUCCUACGGGAGGCAGCAGUGGGGAAUAUUGCGCAAUGGGGGCAACCCUGACGCAGCCAUACCGCGUGGAUGAAGAAGGCCUUAGGGUCGUAAAGUCCACUUUCAAUUGGGAAGAAAAGCUUGUCGUUAAUAGCGGCAAGCCCUGACAUUACCUUUAGAAGAAGCACCGGCUAACUCCGUGCCAGCAGCCGCGGUAAUACGGAGGGUGCGAGCGUUAAUCGGAAUUACUGGGCGUAAAGCGCGCGUAGGUGGUUUGUUAAGUCAGCUGUGAAAGCCCCGGGCUCAACCUGGGAAUUGCAGUUGAUACUGGCCGACUAGAGUACGAGAGAGGGAGGUAGAAUUCCAUGUGUAGCGGUGAAAUGCGUAGAUAUAUGGAGGAAUACCAGUGGCGAAGGCGGCCUCCUGGCUCGAUACUGACGCUGAGGUGCGAAAGCGUGGGGAUCAAACAGGAUUAGAUACCCUGGUAGUCCACGCCGUAAACGAUGUCUACUAGCCGUUGGGAGACUUGAUUUCUUAGUGGCGCAGCUAACGCAAUAAGUAGACCGCCUGGGGAGUACGGCCGCAAGGUUAAAACUCAAAUGAAUUGACGGGGGCCCGCACAAGCGGUGGAGCAUGUG